Molecule: ribosomal RNA, 490 nt
Filed under: uncultured bacterium
Lineage: Bacteria
Description: partial 16S ribosomal RNA
Rfam family: Bacterial small subunit ribosomal RNA
Source: RNAcentral
AUUGAACGCUGGCGGCAGGCCUAACACAUGCAAGUCGAACGGUAACAGAAAGCAGCUUGCUGCUUUGCUGACGAGUGGCGGACGGGUGAGUAAUGUCUGGGAAACUGCCUGAUGGAGGGGGAUAACUACUGGAAACGGUAGCUAAUACCGCAUAACGUCGCAAGACCAAAGAGGGGGACCUUCGGGCCUCUUGCCAUCGGAUGUGCCCAGAUGGGAUUAGCUAGUAGGUGGGGUAAAGGCUCACCUAGGCGACGAUCCCUAGCUGGUCUGAGAGGAUGACCAGCCACACUGGAACUGAGACGCGGUCCAGACUCCUACGGGAGGCAGCAGUGGGGAAUAUUGCACAAUGGGCGCAAGCCUGAUGCAGCCAUGCCGCGUGUAUGAAGAAGGCCUUCGGGUUGUAAAGUACUUUCAGCGGGGAGGAAGGGAGUAAAGUUAAUACCUUUGCUCAUUGACGUUACCCGCAGAAGAAGCACCGGCUAACUCCGUG